UGGCUCAGAUUGAACGCUGGCGGCAGGCCUAACACAUGCAAGUCGAACGGUAACAGGAAGCAGCUUGCUGCUUUGCUGACGAGUGGCGGACGGGUGAGUAAUGUCUGGGAAACUGCCCGAUGGAGGGGGAUAACUACUGGAAACGGUAGCUAAUACCGCAUAAUGUCGCAAGACCAAAGAGGGGGACCUUCGGGCCUCUUGCCAUCGGAUGUGCCCAGAUGGGAUUAGCUAGUAGGUGGGGUAACGGCUCACCUAGGCGACGAUCCCUAGCUGGUCUGAGAGGAUGACCAGCCACACUGGAACUGAGACACGGUCCAGACUCCUACGGGAGGCAGCAGUGGGGAAUAUUGCACAAUGGGCGCAAGCCUGAUGCAGCCAUGCCGCGUGUAUGAAGAAGGCCUUCGGGUUGUAAAGUACUUUCAGCGGGGAGGAAGGCAGUACGGUUAAUAACCGUGCUGAUUGACGUUACCCGCAGAAGAAGCACCGGCUAACUCCGUGCCAGCAGCCGCGGUAAUACGGAGGGUGCAAGCGUUAAUCGGAAUUACUGGGCGUAAAGCGCACGCAGGCGGUCUGUCAAGUCGGAUGUGAAAUCCCCGGGCUCAACCUGGGAACUGCAUUCGAAACUGGCAGGCUUGAGUCUUGUAGAGGGGGGUAGAAUUCCAGGUGUAGCGGUGAAAUGCGUAGAGAUCUGGAGGAAUACCGGUGGCGAAGGCGGCCCCCUGGACAAAGACUGACGCUCAGGUGCGAAAGCGUGGGGAGCAAACAGGAUUAGAUACCCUGGUAGUCCACGCCGUAAACGAUGUCGACUUGGAGGUUGUGCCCUUGAGGCGUGGCUUCCGGAGCUAACGCGUUAAGUCGACCGCCUGGGGAGUACGGCCGCAAGGUUAAAACUCAAAUGAAUUGACGGGGGCCCGCACAAGCGGUGGAGCAUGUGGUUUAAUUCGAUGCAACGCGAAGAACCUUACCUGGUCUUGACAUCCACGGAAUUUGGCAGAGAUGCCUUAGUGCCUUCGGGAACCGUGAGACAGGUGCUGCAUGGCUGUCGUCAGCUCGUGUUGUGAAAUGUUGGGUUAAGUCCCGCAACGAGCGCAACCCUUAUCCUUUGUUGCCAGCGGUCCGGCCGGGAACUCAAAGGAGACUGCCAGUGAUAAACUGGAGGAAGGUGGGGAUGACGUCAAGUCAUCAUGGCCCUUACGACCAGGGCUACACACGUGCUACAAUGGCGCAUACAAAGAGAAGCGACCUCGCGAGAGCAAGCGGACCUCAUAAAGUGCGUCGUAGUCCGGAUUGGAGUCUGCAACUCGACUCCAUGAAGUCGGAAUCGCUAGUAAUCGUGGAUCAGAAUGCCACGGUGAAUACGUUCCCGGGCCUUGUACACACCGCCCGUCACACCAUGGGAGUGGGUUGCAAAAGAAGUAGGUAGCUUAACCUUCGGGAGGGCGCUUACCACUUUGUGAUUCAUGACUGGG
This 1469-nucleotide ribosomal RNA is filed under the name Kosakonia sp. RNAcentral describes it as "bacterial SSU rRNA". It matches the Rfam family "Bacterial small subunit ribosomal RNA". The record is from RNAcentral. Lineage: Bacteria; Pseudomonadati; Pseudomonadota; Gammaproteobacteria; Enterobacterales; Enterobacteriaceae.